AUCCAAUAAACUAAAACCAAACAAAUUAAUCCCCUUACAUCGUAAUUGGGACAUAUCCAAAAUCUCCUUCUUAGAUUUGUAGUAGUCCAUGAUCUCUUUAUUAUGGUUGCAAGAUGGCAACGGCAAGUCUUUGAGCCUCCACUAUUAAUGUUAAAUCCUUCCCCUUCCCAAGCUCCCGAAGUUAAAGAACUCAUUUCCUUACGAGAGAGACUGAGAGAC
This 219-nucleotide long non-coding RNA is filed under the name Elaeis guineensis (African oil palm). RNAcentral describes it as "long non-coding RNA (EGUI_LNC049086)". The record is from RNAcentral. Lineage: Eukaryota; Viridiplantae; Streptophyta; Magnoliopsida; Arecales; Arecaceae.